CCUACGGGUGGCAGCAGUGGGGAAUAUUGCACAAUGGGGGAAACCCUGAUGCAGCGACGCCGCGUGGGUGACGAAGUAUCUCGGUAUGUAAAGCCCUAUCAGCAGGGAAGAAAAUGACGGUACCUGACUAAGAAGCCCCGGCUAACUACGUGCCAGCAGCCGCGGUAAUCCGUAGGGGGCAAGCGUUAUCCGGAUGUACUGGGGGUAAAGGGGGCGUAGGUGGCGUUGCAAGCCAGAAGUGAAAGCCCGGGGCGUAACCCCGGGGAUGGCGUUGGAACUGGCAGGCUGGAGUGCAGGAGGGGCAGGCGGAAUGCCUGGUGUAGCGGUGAAAUGCGUAGAUAUCAGGAGGAACACCGGUGGCGAAGGCGGCCUGCUGGACUGUAACUGACGUUGAGGCCCGAAAGCGUGGGGAGCAAACAGGAUUAGAGACCCUAGUAGUC
RNAcentral lists this ribosomal RNA (440 nucleotides) under uncultured bacterium. Its description in RNAcentral is "partial 16S ribosomal RNA". It matches the Rfam family "Bacterial small subunit ribosomal RNA", at positions 338 to 795 of the family's 1533-position model. The record is from RNAcentral.